This 362-nucleotide ribosomal RNA is filed under the name uncultured bacterium. Its description in RNAcentral is "bacterial SSU rRNA". It matches the Rfam family "Bacterial small subunit ribosomal RNA", at positions 28 to 392 of the family's 1533-position model. The record is from RNAcentral.
GACGAACGCUGGCGGCGUGCUUAACACAUGCAAGUCGAACGGUAAGGCCCUUCGGGGUACGACGAGUGGCGAACGGGUGAGUAACACGUGGUGAUCUGCCCUGCACUUCGGGAUAAGCCUGGGAAACUGGGUCUAAUACCGGAUAGGACCAUGGACUUCACGGUUUGUGGUGGAAAGCUUUUGCGGUGUGGGAUGGGCCCGCGGCCUAUCAGCUUGUUGGUGGGGUAAAUGGCCUACCCAAGGCGACGACGGGUAGCCGGCCUGAGAGGGUGUCCGGCCACACUGGGACUGAGAUACGGCCCAGACUCCUACGGGAGGCAGCAGUGGGGAAUAUUGCACAAUGGGCGCAAGCCUGAUGCAGC